RNAcentral lists this ribosomal RNA (253 nucleotides) under uncultured bacterium. Its description in RNAcentral is "partial 16S ribosomal RNA". It matches the Rfam family "Bacterial small subunit ribosomal RNA", at positions 524 to 776 of the family's 1533-position model. The record is from RNAcentral.
UACAGAGGUCCCAAGCGUUGUUCGGAUUCACUGGGCGUAAAGGGUGCGUAGGUGGUGAGGUAAGUCGGAUGUGAAAUCUCCGAGCUCAACUCGGAAAAUGCAUUGGAAACUACCUUGCUAGAGGGUUGGAGGGGGAACUGGAAUACUUGGUGUAGCAGUGAAAUGCGUAGAUAUCAAGUGGAACACCAGUGGCGAAGGCGAGUCCCUGGACAACACCUGACACUGAGGCACGAAAGCUAGGGGAGCAAACAGG